GAUGAACGCUGGCGGCGUGCCUAAUACAUGCAAGUCGAGCGAACAGACGAGGAGCUUGCUCCUCUGACGUUAGCGGCGGACGGGUGAGUAACACGUGGAUAACCUACCUAUAAGACUGGGAUAACUUCGGGAAACCGGAGCUAAUACCGGAUAAUCUAUUGAACCGCAUGGUUCAAUAGUGAAAGACGGUUUUGCUGUCACUUAUAGAUGGAUCCGCGCCGCAUUAGCUAGUUGGUAAGGUAACGGCUUACCAAGGCAACGAUGCGUAGCCGACCUGAGAGGGUGAUCGGCCACACUGGAACUGAGACACGGUCCAGACUCCUACGGGAGGCAGCAGUAGGGAAUCUUCCGCAAUGGGCGAAAGCCUGACGGAGCAACGCCGCGUGAGUGAUGAAGGUCUUCGGAUCGUAAAAAUCUGUUAUUAGGGAAGAACAAAUGUGUAAGUAACUAUGCACGUCUUGACGGUACCUAAUCAGAAAGCCACGGCUAACUACGUG
RNAcentral lists this ribosomal RNA (497 nucleotides) under uncultured bacterium. Its description in RNAcentral is "partial 16S ribosomal RNA". It matches the Rfam family "Bacterial small subunit ribosomal RNA", at positions 28 to 507 of the family's 1533-position model. The record is from RNAcentral.